AAAUUGAAGAGUUUGAUCAUGGCUCAGAUUGAACGCUGGCGGCAGGCCUAACACAUGCAAGUCGAACGGUAACAGGAAGCAGCUUGCUGUUUCGCUGACGAGUGGCGGACGGGUGAGUAAUGUCUGGGAAACUGCCUGAUGGAGGGGGAUAACUACUGGAAACGGUGGCUAAUACCGCAUAACGUCGCAAGACCAAAGAGGGGGACCUUCGGGCCUCUUGCCAUCAGAUGUGCCCAGAUGGGAUUAGCUAGUUGGUGAGGUAACGGCUCACCAAGGCGACGAUCCCUAGCUGGUCUGAGAGGAUGACCAGCCACACUGGAACUGAGACACGGUCCAGACUCCUACGGGAGGCAGCAGUGGGGAAUAUUGCACAAUGGGCGCAAGCCUGAUGCAGCCAUGCCGCGUGUAUGAAGAAGGCCUUCGGGUUGUAAAGUACUUUCAGCGGGGAGGAAGGUGUUGUGGUUAAUAACCGCAGCAAUUGACGUUACCCGCAGAAGAAGCACCGGCUAACUCCGUGCCAGCAGCCGCGGUAAUACGGAGGGUGCAAGCGUUAAUCGGAAUUACUGGGCGUAAAGCGCACGCAGGCGGUCUGUCAAGUCGGAUGUGAAAUCCCCGGGCUCAACCUGGGAACUGCAUUCGAAACUGGCAGGCUUGAGUCUUGUAGAGGGGGGUAGAAUUCCAGGUGUAGCGGUGAAAUGCGUAGAGAUCUGGAGGAAUACCGGUGGCGAAGGCGGCCCCCUGGACAAAGACUGACGCUCAGGUGCGAAAGCGUGGGGAGCAAACAGGAUUAGAUACCCUGGUAGUCCACGCCGUAAACGAUGUCUACUUGGAGGUUGUGCCCUUGAGGCGUGGCUUCCGGAGCUAACGCGUUAAGUAGACCGCCUGGGGAGUACGGCCGCAAGGUUAAAACUCAAAUGAAUUGACGGGGGCCCGCACAAGCGGUGGAGCAUGUGGUUUAAUUCGAUGCAACGCGAAGAACCUUACCUGGUCUUGACAUCCACGGAAGUUUUCAGAGAUGAGAAUGUGCCUUCGGGAACCGUGAGACAGGUGCUGCAUGGCUGUCGUCAGCUCGUGUUGUGAAAUGUUGGGUUAAGUCCCGCAACGAGCGCAACCCUUAUCCUU
Molecule: ribosomal RNA, 1122 nt
Filed under: Salmonella enterica
Lineage: Bacteria; Pseudomonadati; Pseudomonadota; Gammaproteobacteria; Enterobacterales; Enterobacteriaceae
Description: bacterial SSU rRNA
Rfam family: Bacterial small subunit ribosomal RNA
Source: RNAcentral